GAUGAACGCUGGCGGCGUGCUUAACACAUGCAAGUCGAACGGAAAGGCUCCUGCUUGCAGGGGUACUCGAGUGGCGAACGGGUGAGUAACACGUGGGUGAUCUGCCCUGCACUUCGGGAUAAGCCUGGGAAACUGGGUCUAAUACCGGAUAGGACGAUGGUUUGGAUGCCAUUGUGGAAAGUUUUUUCGGUGUGGGAUGAGCUCGCGGCCUAUCAGCUUGUUGGUGGGGUAAUGGCCUACCAAGGCGUCGACGGGUAGCCGGCCCGAGAGGGUGUACGGCCACAUUGGGACUGAGGUACGGCCCAGACUCCUACGGGAGGCAGCAGUGGGGAAUAUUGCACAAUGGGCGCAAGCCUGAUGCAGCGACGCCGCGUGGGGGAUGACGGCCUUCGGGUUGUAAACUCCUUUCGCUAGGGACGAAGCGCAAGUGACGGUACCUGGAGAAGAAGCACCGGCUAACUACGUG
This 466-nucleotide ribosomal RNA is filed under the name uncultured bacterium. RNAcentral describes it as "partial 16S ribosomal RNA". It matches the Rfam family "Bacterial small subunit ribosomal RNA", at positions 28 to 507 of the family's 1533-position model. The record is from RNAcentral.